CUUAACACAUGCAAGUCGAGGGGCAGCAUGGUCUUAGCUUGCUAAGGCCGAUGGCGACCGGCGCACGGGUGAGUAACGCGUAUCCAACCUGCCUUACACUCUUGGACAGCCUUCUGAAAGGGAGAUUAAUACAAGAUGUUAUCAUGAGUAAGCAUUUUCGCAUGAUUAAAGGUUUACCGGUGUAAGAUGGGGAUGCGUUCCAUUAGAUAGUAGGCGGGGUAACGGCCCACCUAGUCUUCGAUGGAUAGGGGUUCUGAGAGGAAGGUCCCCCACAUUGGAACUGAGACACGGUCCAAACUCCUACGGGAGGCAGCAGUGAGGAAUAUUGGUCAAUGGACGAGAGUCUGAACCAGCCAAGUAGCGUGAAGGAUGAAGGUUCUAUGGAUUGUAAACUUCUUUUAUACGGGAAUAAACGGAUCCACGUGUGGAUUUUUGCAUGUACCGUAUGAACAAGGAUCGGCUAACUCCGUGCCAGCAGCCGCGGUAAUACGGAGGAUCCGAGCGUUAUCCGGAUUUAUUGGGUUUAAAGGGAGCGUAGAUGGGUUGUUAAGUCAGUUGUGAAAGUUUGCGGCUCAACCGUAAAAUUGCAAUUGAUACUGGCAGUCUUGAGUACAGUUGAGGUAGGCGGAAUUCGUGGUGUAGCGGUGAAAUGCUUAGAUAUCACGAAGAACUCCGAUUGCGAAGGCAGCUUACUAACCUGUAACUGACAUUGAUGCUCGAAAGUGUGGGUAUCAAACAGGAUUAGAUACCCUGGUAGUCCGCACGGUAAACGAUGAAUACUCGCUGUAGGCGAUAUACAGUCUGCGGCCAAGCGAAAGCAUUAAGUAUUCCACCUGGGGAGUACGCCGGCAACGGUGAAACUCAAAGGAAUUGACGGGGGCCCGCACAAGCGGAGGAACAUGUGGUUUAAUUCGAUGAUACGCGAGGAACCUUACCCGGGCUUAAAUUGCAACCGAAUAUGGCGGAAACGCUAUAGCUAGCAAUAGCGGUUGUGAAGGUGCUGCAUGGUUGUCGUCAGCUCGUGCCGUGAGGUGUCGGCUUAAGUGCCAUAACGAGCGCAACCCUUGCCGAUAGUUACUAACAGGUCAUGCUGAGGACUCUGUCGGGACUGCCAUCGUAAGAUGUGAGGAAGGUGGGGAUGACGUCAAAUCAGCACGGCCCUUACGUCCGGGGCUACACACGUGUUACAAUGGGGGGUACAGAGGGCUGCUACCACGCAAGUGGAUGCCAAUCCCAAAAACCUCUCUCAGUUCGGAUUGAAGUCUGCAACCCGACUUCAUGAAGCUGGAUUCGCUAGUAAUCGCGCAUCAGCCACGGCGCGGUGAAUACGUUCCCGGGCCUUGUACACACCGCCCGUCAAGCCAUGGGAGCCGGGGGUACCUGAAGUGCGUAACCGCAAGGAGCGCCCUAGGGUAAAACUGGUGACUGGGGCUAAGUCGU
This 1440-nucleotide ribosomal RNA is filed under the name uncultured organism. RNAcentral's name for it is "SSU rRNA". It matches the Rfam family "Bacterial small subunit ribosomal RNA". The record is from RNAcentral.